UGGGGAAUAUUGCACAAUGGGCGGAAGCCUGAUGCAGCGACGCCGCGUGAGGGAUGACGGCCUUCGGGUUGUAAACCUCUUUCAGCAGGGACGAAGCGUAAGUGACGGUGCCUGCAGAAGAAGCACCGGCUAACUACGUGCCAGCAGCCGCGGUAAUACGUAGGGUGCGAGCGUUGUCCGGAAUUACUGGGCGUAAAGAGCUCGUAGGCGGUUUGUCACGUCGUCUGUGAAAUCCUAGGGCUUAACCCUGGACGUGCAGGCGAUACGGGCUGACUUGAGUACUACAGGGGAGACUGGAAUUUCUGGUGUAGCGGUGGAAUGCACAGAUAUCAGGAAGAACACCGAUGGCGAAGGCAGGUCUCUGGGUAGUAACUGACGCUGAGGAGCGAAAGCAUGGGUAGCGAACAGG
RNAcentral lists this ribosomal RNA (409 nucleotides) under uncultured prokaryote. Its description in RNAcentral is "bacterial SSU rRNA". It matches the Rfam family "Bacterial small subunit ribosomal RNA", at positions 355 to 776 of the family's 1533-position model. The record is from RNAcentral. RNAcentral also lists the same sequence under 1 other name.